CCUACGGGAGGCAGCAGUGGGGAAUAUUGCACAAUGGGGGAAACCCUGAUGCAGCAACGCCGCGUGAGUGAAGAAGUAUUUCGGGAUGUAAAGCUCUAUCAGUAGGGAAGAAGAAAGACGGUACCUGACUAAGAAGCCCCGGCUAACUACGUGCCAGCAGCCGCGGUAAAACGGAGGGGGCAAGCGUUCUCCGGAUUUACUGGGUGUAAAGGGAGCGUAGACGGUUGUGCAAGUCUGAAGUGAAAGCCCGUGGCUCAACCGCGGAACUGCUUUGGAACCUGUAUAGCUGGAGUACUGGAGAGGCAGGCGGAAUUCCUAGUGUAGCGGUGAAAUGCGUAGAUAUUAGGAGGAACACCAGUGGCGAAGGCGGCCUGCUGGACAGAAACUGACGUUGAGGCUCGAAAGCGUGGGGAGCAAACAGGAUUAGCUACCCCAGUAGUC
RNAcentral lists this ribosomal RNA (441 nucleotides) under uncultured bacterium. RNAcentral's name for it is "partial 16S ribosomal RNA". It matches the Rfam family "Bacterial small subunit ribosomal RNA", at positions 338 to 795 of the family's 1533-position model. The record is from RNAcentral.